UGAAUAAUUAUGUGCUAAACUGUUUUAGCAGUUCACAGGGGGAGCACUCGAAGCCUAAUGCUUUUGAAAUUUUAUGUUUUCCUGUGAAAAUGAUUUUCACUGGAGUCAAGCUUUAAAAUAUGAAGGCAUUGUUUUAGCAGGUUUUUAAGUGGAAAUUAAUUUGAAUAUCUCGAAUCCAAUGUUUUAAACUCACUCAAACAAAGAAACUUGGUAAAACUUGCGUUGGUUUUAAUAAUUUUCGUAGUGUUAAGUGAAAGUUAUAAAGGAUUUUGCAGCUUAAAAACAUCAGACUUUGUUUCUGAACAAUUCUGGGCAUAAAAACCAUUCGCACGAUUAUCGCACGAUUUUAAUUUUUCGCUGCGUUUCAUACUUAUUUGCUUUUUAGAUACAUUUUUAGGUGCUCUAAGGAUUUUGAGGAAUUACAUAUGAGUGAUCUUCAUAUUUGGAUAUUAUUUAUGAAGUUGUUAUCGGUGCUUAAUGUGAAUAAUUAUGUGCUAAACUGUUUUAGCAGUUCACAGGGGGAGCACUCGAAGCCUAAUGCUUUUGAAAUUUUAUGUUUUCCUGUGAAAAUGAUUUUCACUGGAGUCAAGCUUUAAAAUAUGAAGGCAUUGUUUUAGCAGGUUUUUAAGUGGAAAUUAAUUUGAAUAUCUCGAAUCCAAUGUUUUAAACUCACUCAAACAAAGAAACUUGGUAAAACUUGCGUUGGUUUUAAUAAUUUUCGUAGUGUUAAGUGAAAGUUAUAAAGGAUUUUGCAGCUUAAAAACAUCAGACUUUGUUUCUCAACAAUUUCAGGCAUAAAACCAUUCGCACGAUUAUCGCACGAUUUUUAAUUUUUCGCUGUGUUUCAUACUUAUUUGCUUUUUAGAUACAUUUUUAGGUGCUCUAAGGAUUUUGAGGAAUUACAUAUGAGUGAUCUUCAUAUUUGGAUAUUAUUUAUGAAGUUGUUAUCGGUGCUUAAUGUGAAUAAUUAUGUGCUAAACUGUUUUAGCAGUUCACAGGGGGAGCACUCGAAGCCUAAUGCUUUUGAAAUUUUAUGUUUUCCUGUGAAAAUGAUUUUCACUGGAGUCAAGCUUUAAAAUAUGAAGGCAUUGUUUUAGCAGGUUUUUAAGUGGAAAUUAAUUUGAAUAUCUCGAAUCCAAUGUUUUAAACUCACUCAAACAAAGAAACUUGGUAAAACUUGCGUUGGUUUUAAUAAUUUUCGUAGUGUUAAGUGAAAGUUAUAAAGGAUUUUGCAGCUUAAAACAUCAGACUUUGUUUCUGAACAAUUCUGGGCAUAAAAACCAUUCGCACGAUUAUCGCACGAUUUUAAUUUUUCGCUGCGUUUCAUACUUAUUUGCUUUUUAGAUACAUUUUUAGGUGCUCUAAGGAUUUUGAGGAAUUACAUAUGAGUGAUCUUCAUAUUUGGAUAUUAUUUAUGAAGUUGUUAUCGGUGCUUAAUGUGAAUAAUUAUGUGCUAAACUGUUUUAGCAGUUCACAGGGGGAGCACUCGAAGCCUAAUGCUUUUGAAAUUUUAUGUUUUCCUGUGAAAAUGAUUUUCACUGGAGUCAAGCUUUAAAAUAUGAAGGCAUUGUUUUAGCAGGUUUUUAAGUGGAAAUUAAUUUGAAUAUCUCGAAUCCAAUGUUUUAAGCUCACUCAAACAAAGAAACUCGGCAAAACUUGCGUUGGUUUUCAUAAUUUUCGUAGUGUUAAGUGAAAGUUAUAAAGGAUUUUGCAGCUUAAAAACAUCAGACUUUGUUUCUGAACAAUUCUGGGCAUAAAAACCAUUCGCACGAUUAUCGCACGAUUUUAAUUUUUCGCUGCGUUUCAUACUUAUUUGCUUUUUAGAUACAUUUUUAGGUGCUCUAAGGAUUUUGAGGAAUUACAUAUGAGUGAUCUUCAUAUUUGGAUAUUAUUUAUGAAGUUGUUAUCGGUGCUUAAUGUGAAUAAUUAUGUGCUAAACUGUUUUAGCAGUUCACAGGGGGAGCACUCGAAGCCUAAUGCUUUUGAAAUUUUAUGUUUUCCUGUGAAAAUGAUUUUCACUGGAGUCAAGCUUUAAAAUAUGAAGGCAUUGUUUUAGCAGGUUUUUAAGUGGAAAUUAAUUUGAAUAUCUCGAAUCCAAUGUUUUAAACUCACUCAAACAAAGAAACUUGGUAAAACUUGCGUUGGUUUUAAUAAUUUUCGUAGUGUUAAGNN
This 2172-nucleotide long non-coding RNA is filed under the name Durio zibethinus. Its description in RNAcentral is "long non-coding RNA (DZIB_LNC000901)". Lineage: Eukaryota; Viridiplantae; Streptophyta; Magnoliopsida; Malvales; Malvaceae. The record is from RNAcentral.